Molecule: long non-coding RNA, 922 nt
Organism: Populus euphratica (Euphrates poplar)
Lineage: Eukaryota; Viridiplantae; Streptophyta; Magnoliopsida; Malpighiales; Salicaceae
Exons: 2
Source: RefSeq, a predicted model, not a curated record
UUGUGAGCGUUGGGUUUCACCAACCUGGUUUGUUUUUUAUCCUACCCAGGCCAUGACAUGGGUCUGUUUCGAUAUUUUCUGUGUUGUGUUGCCGCCAAACGGAAGACAAGAACACCUAGACGAGGGCACAGAGUUUUACAGAACUGGUUAAAUCACGGAAUCCAAAAACCAACAUACAACGAAUGACACUUGACAAGCUACAGUUCCUGUCAAUCUACAGAAAAUCAGACUGCACAGACAAAACUAUACGUCUCUUUCAAUCAAGAAUAUUUUAUCAUCCUCUGCUUGUCAUCCUUGUUCCCAAAGCUGCUAAGAACAAAUCUUGACCACCAGGCAUUUUCAAUUGAAAUCUCUGUAAGCUACCCUCUCAUCUUGAUUUAGUUACUCUGAUUCUAAUUGAUUACUGGGCCUGGGUCAUACGAGCUUUUUCCAGAUCUUUUAUUCAAACCCACUUGGGCUACACUACUAUAUGCUAGGCCCAUAAGAGAAACUUCUACUACCACCUCGGCCCCAUUGUUUUUCAUCCUUGUCAAUGUUAUUCGAUGCUUCUUCUAAACAGCAAUGCAUCGUCACCGCUUCUCCACCGGAAUUUCAGAAAUGAAUUAGGGUCAACAUUAGCAAGCUGUAUGAGGGCGGAUUAUUUUAUGACCGGACAUGGUUAAUGGAUUCAGAGCAGUGGGAUGGGCUUCUGGGGUAGAUAAGUGUGCAAGGAGUCGAAGUCCAUGUUGAGGGGACAUUGCAAGAAGGAGAACCGGUUCCUGGACUUAUUUAGGUGAUAGGCAGAAGAACCAUUGAGUGUGCAAUCUUUGUUUCAUUAUAUUUGAAGGUCACGAUGAAGAGCUAGAGAUGGAGCAUGGACCUCCAUAUUUGGGGGGUUUAGCCUUAGAGAUUCGUUGAUAACCAUGCUCAUCUACUAGGAAAG